This 323-nucleotide ribosomal RNA is filed under the name uncultured bacterium. RNAcentral describes it as "bacterial SSU rRNA". It matches the Rfam family "Bacterial small subunit ribosomal RNA", at positions 28 to 334 of the family's 1533-position model. The record is from RNAcentral.
GAUGAACGCUGGCGGCGUGCUUAACACAUGCAAGUCGAGCGAAGCAUUUGCAGUUGAUUUCUUCGGAAUGAUUCUGUUUAUGACUGAGCGGCGACGGGUGAGUACGCGUGGGAACCUGCCUCAUACAGGGGGAUAACAGUUAGAAAUGACUGCUAAUACCGCAUAAGCGCACAGUGCCGCAUGGCGCCGUGUGAAAAACUCCGGUGGUAUGAGAUGGACCCGCGUCUGAUUAGCUGGUUGGUGGGGUAACGGCCCACCAAGGCGACGAUCAGUAGCCGACCCGAGAGGGCGACCGGCCACAUUGGGACUGAGACACGGCCCAG